Long non-coding RNA from Oncorhynchus keta (chum salmon), 519 nucleotides. RefSeq lists it as uncharacterized. The transcript has 3 exons. The record is from RefSeq and is a predicted model, not a curated record. Lineage: Eukaryota; Metazoa; Chordata; Actinopteri; Salmoniformes; Salmonidae.
CUUGAGAAUCUUCUAGUUCAACAGUUCUUAAUUUUGAAUUUAAUUUUAUUUAACUAGACAAAAACAUCAAACUGAUCCCAGAUUUGUACUUAUCGGAAACUGAUCCCAGGUUGGUUGGUAGGAUCCAGACAGUCCUCUGUAGUGGUGAGGUAGUUCUGAGGUAGUGGUUGGUAGGAUCCAGACAGUCCUCUGUAGUUCUGAGGUAGUGGUUGGUAGGAUCCAGACAGUCCUCUGUAGUUCUGAGGUAGUGGUUGGUAGGAUCCAGACAGUCCUCUGUAGUUCUGAGGUAGUGGUUGGUAGGAUCCAGACAGUCCUCUGUAGUGGUGAGGUAGUUCUGAGGUAGUGGUUGGUAGGAUCCAGACAGUCCUCUGUAGUGGUGAGGUAGUUCUGAGGUAGUGGUUGGUAGGAUCCAGACAGUCCUCUGUAGUUCUGAGGUAGUGGUUGGUAGGAUCCAGACAGUCCUCUGUAGUUCUGAGGUAGUGGUUGGUAGGAUCCAGACAGUCCUCUGUCGUUCUGAGG